This 433-nucleotide ribosomal RNA is filed under the name uncultured bacterium. RNAcentral's name for it is "partial 16S ribosomal RNA". It matches the Rfam family "Bacterial small subunit ribosomal RNA", at positions 29 to 507 of the family's 1533-position model. The record is from RNAcentral.
AACGAACGCUGGCGGCAUGCCUAACACAUGCAAGUCGAACGAGACCUUCGGGUCUAGUGGCGCACGGGUGCGUAACGCGUGGGAACCUGCCUUUAGGUUCGGAAUAACUCAGAGAAAUUUGAGCUAAUACCGGAUGAUGUCUUCGGACCAAAGAUUUAUUGCCUUUAGAUGGGCCCGCGUUGGAUUAGCUAGUUGGUGGGGUAAAGGCCUACCAAGGCGACGAUCCAUAGCUGGUCUGAGAGGAUGAUCAGCCACACUGGGACUGAGACACGGCCCAGACUCCUACGGGAGGCAGCAGUGGGGAAUAUUGGACAAUGGGCGAAAGCCUGAUCCAGCAAUGCCGCGUGAGUGAUGAAAGCCUUAGGGUUGUAAAGCUCUUUUACCCGAGAUGAUAAUGACAGUAUCGGGAGAAUAAGCUCCGGCUAACUCCGUG